Gadus chalcogrammus (walleye pollock) is the source of this 769-nucleotide long non-coding RNA. RefSeq lists it as uncharacterized. The record is from RefSeq and is a predicted model, not a curated record. NCBI's taxonomy places the organism in Eukaryota, Metazoa, Chordata, Actinopteri, Gadiformes, Gadidae. The transcript has 10 exons.
CUUCCAGGUUCUCAUUCUCGGCUUGGACAAACUUUGCUGGUAGCUUUCAAGACUGCUAUGCUCAAGAUGGUGCCAAAGAAGUUGUGCAGAAUCGCCACAUGCAGACGCACGCUCAAGGAUAGGAUUUUUUGACCUUUGAACUGGAAAUGAUGGCUCAACUGCAUGAGGCACCUCCAAGAGCAGGUCCGAGCUGUAAGAUGGUGGGGGCGGUGACCGGACCAUGUCAGUGUUGGUGAACCCUGACGGGGCUUCCUGAUUGGGUGAUGCUCUUGCAGGGACAAGUGAACCAGGCCCCUCCAGAGAAGGUCCGAGCCGUAAGAUGGUGGGGGUGGUGACCAGACCAUGUCAGUGUUGGUGAACAGUGACGGGGCUUCCUGAUUGGGUGUUGCCCUGGCAGGAAGGAGUGAACCAGGCCCCUCCAGAGAAGGUGAAGACCCAAAGAUGCAGCUGGGAUGGGUGGACCAAGCCGUAGGGCGUCGGAAGUGACGAGAACAUGUCAGUGUUGCAGGUCCUGUUGAGCCACCUGUUCCCAGGACCCACCCUGUAGGGCCUCCUGGUACGGGCUGUUUGGAGCUCCAUGAUGUCUUAAGCCGGCCCGUGGCGACCUCGGCAUCUGAAUUGUGAAACUUUUCAAUAAAACAUGACAAAAAAAACUACUUUUGUAUUGUUUCCUCAUGAUGUGGUAAUGGUUGAACUACAAUUAUGGUUAAUUUUAAUUAAACAGCCUGGCUGAAUUAAAACGAAUGUUAAACUGAACAUGGUCUACAGU